Mauremys reevesii (Reeves's turtle) is the source of this 237-nucleotide long non-coding RNA. RefSeq lists it as uncharacterized. The transcript has 3 exons. Lineage: Eukaryota; Metazoa; Chordata; Testudines; Geoemydidae. The record is from RefSeq and is a predicted model, not a curated record.
CUCUGGGCAUGCGCAGAUCGCGCCGCGCGGGGGGAGGGGCAGAGCUGCCGCCUCCAGGUGUGUGACUGAGGUCAGGGCCCUUAUCGUACUGAGCGUGGCUCAGGCCUUGCCUGAGAUCAGGUCGGCCCGUGUGCCGGGCGCUGCACAAACCCUGACUGAGUUUGGAGGCACUCGUUGUGCCAGGCCCUGCAUCAACACCAGGCUACAGAAUAACGUCCACCUUUCGCUCCAGAUCAU